This is a long non-coding RNA of Misgurnus anguillicaudatus (oriental weatherfish), 321 nucleotides long. RefSeq lists it as uncharacterized. Lineage: Eukaryota; Metazoa; Chordata; Actinopteri; Cypriniformes; Cobitidae. The record is from RefSeq and is a predicted model, not a curated record.
UGAAUCAAAACUCCAACCAUCUGUAGGAGGGUCUGGAUGGAUAAAGGAUGCCCACUGGAGCUGGAAAUGAUGGAUCAGGUGGAUCCACACUUUAACCAUCUGUAUGAUGAUCUGCACCCACUGGAGCUGUAAAUGGUGAUGGGACACACUUAGCAUGCGUAAAAAUUUCAAUCCAGAACAUGAUGCACGAUGGGAUGCACAAAGUGAUAUUUGGACGCAGCCUCAGUCUGUCAGAUCAAAGAGACAUACAGAAUGCACAGAGCAGUGGGACUCCAUGAACACAGUUCAGAACCACUGGUGUAACUUAUUAUGCUUACCUGA